GACGAACGCUGGCGGCGUGCUUAACACAUGCAAGUCGAACGGAAAGGCCCUGCUUUUGUGGGGUGCUCGAGUGGCGAACGGGUGAGUAACACGUGAGUAACCUGCCCUUGACUUUGGGAUAACUUCAGGAAACUUGGGCUAAUACCGGAUAGGAGCUCCUGCUGCAUGGUGGGGGUUGGAAAGUUUCGGCGGUUGGGGAUGGACUCGCGGCUUAUCAGCUUGUUGGUGGGGUAGUGGCUUACCAAGGCUUUGACGGGUAGCCGGCCUGAGAGGGUGACCGGCCACAUUGGGACUGAGAUACGGACCAGACUCCUACGGGAGGCAGCAGUGGGGAAUAUUGCACAAUGGGCGGAAGCCUGAUGCAGCAACGCCGCGUGCGGGAUGACGGCCUUCGGGUUGUAAACCGCUUUCGCCUGUGACGAAGCGUGAGUGACGGUAAUGGGUAAAGAAGCACCGGCUAACUACGUG
This 468-nucleotide ribosomal RNA is filed under the name uncultured bacterium. Its description in RNAcentral is "partial 16S ribosomal RNA". It matches the Rfam family "Bacterial small subunit ribosomal RNA", at positions 28 to 507 of the family's 1533-position model. The record is from RNAcentral.